GGUGUUUACUGUCGAACUGAACACUCUACCGUUUACUGUCUGGUGGUGCUCUUCACCGAGUGUCACCAGUGGUCGGUACGUUUACUUUGAAAAAAUUAGAGUGCUCAAAGCGUUUUUACACGACCGAAUACUGUUGCAUGGAAUAAUGAAAUAGGACUUUGGGUUCUAUUUUGUUGGUCUCGGAACCAAGGUAAUGAUAGAGGGACAGACGGGGGCAUUAGUAUUGCGACGCUAGAGGUGAAAUUCUUGGACCGUCGCAAGACUAACUAAAGCGAAAGCAUUUGCCAAGAAUGUUUUCAUUAAUCAAGAACGAAAGUUAGAGGUUCGAAGGCGAUCAGAUACCGCCCUAGUUCUAACCAUAAACGAUGCCAACCAGCAAUCAGCCUGUGUUCUCUUGAUGACACGGCUGGCGGCUUCCGGGAAACCAAAGUCUUUCGGUUCCAGGGGAAGUAUGGUUGCAAAGCUGAAACUUAAAGGAAUUGACGGAAGGGCACCACCAGGAGUGGAGCCUGCGGCUUAAUUUGACUCAACACGGGGAAACUCACCCGGCCCGGACACUGUGAGGAUUGACAGGUUGAAGCCCUUUCUUGAUUCAGUGGGUGGUGGUGCAUGGCCGUUCUUAGUUGGUGGAGUGAUUUGUCUGGUUAAUUCCGAUAACGAACGAGACUCUAGCCUACUAAUUAGACCGUGGCGUCCUCGUGCCGCCACGGCGCUUCCUAGAGGGACAGACGG
This 732-nucleotide ribosomal RNA is filed under the name uncultured eukaryote. RNAcentral describes it as "SSU rRNA". It matches the Rfam family "Eukaryotic small subunit ribosomal RNA", at positions 671 to 1426 of the family's 1831-position model. The record is from RNAcentral.